GACGAACGCUGGCGGCGUGCUUAACACAUGCAAGUCGAACGGAAAGGCCCUGCUUUUGUGGGGUGCUCGAGUGGCGAACGGGUGAGUAACACGUGAGUAACCUGCCCUUGACUUUGGGAUAACUUCAGGAAACUGGGGCUAAUACCGGAUAGGAGCUCCUGCUGCAUGGUGGGGGUUGGAAAGUUUCGGCGGUUGGGGAUGGACUCGCGGCUUAUCAGCUUGUUGGUGGGGUAGUGGCUUACCAAGGCGUUGACGGGUAGCCGGCCUGAGAGGGUGACCGGCCACAUUGGGACUGAGAUACGGCGCAGACUCCUACGGGAGGCAGAAGUGGGGAAUAUUGCACAAUGGGCGGAAGCCUGAUGCAGCAACGCCGCGUGCGGGAUGACGGCCUUCGGGUUGUAAACCGCUUUCGCCUGUGACGAAGCGUGAGUGACGGUAAUGGGUAAAGAAGCACCGGCUAACUACGUG
This 468-nucleotide ribosomal RNA is filed under the name uncultured bacterium. Its description in RNAcentral is "partial 16S ribosomal RNA". It matches the Rfam family "Bacterial small subunit ribosomal RNA", at positions 28 to 507 of the family's 1533-position model. The record is from RNAcentral.